UUUAAAGAGAGUUUGAUCCUGGCUCAGGACGAACGCUGGCGGCGUGCCUAAUACAUGCAAGUCGAACGAACGGAGGAAGAGCUUGCUCUUCCAAAGUUAGUGGCGGACGGGUGAGUAACACGUGGGCAACCUGCCUGUAAGUUGGGGAUAACUCCGGGAAACCGGGGCUAAUACCGAAUGAUAAAGUGU
RNAcentral lists this ribosomal RNA (189 nucleotides) under Listeria monocytogenes. Its description in RNAcentral is "partial 16S ribosomal RNA". It matches the Rfam family "Bacterial small subunit ribosomal RNA", at positions 1 to 184 of the family's 1533-position model. Lineage: Bacteria; Bacillati; Bacillota; Bacilli; Caryophanales; Listeriaceae. The record is from RNAcentral.